UACGAAGGGGGCUAGCGUUGCUCGGAAUCACUGGGCGUAAAGCGCACGUAGGCGGAUUGCUAAGUCAGGGGUGAAAUCCUGGAGCUCAACUCCAGAACUGCCUUUGAUACUGGCAACCUUGAGUCCGGGAGAGGUGAGUGGAACUGCGAGUGUAGAGGUGAAAUUCGUAGAUAUUCGCAAGAACACCAGUGGCGAAGGCGGCUCACUGGCCCGGUACUGACGCUGAGGUGCGAAAGCGUGGGGAGCGAACAGG
Molecule: ribosomal RNA, 253 nt
Filed under: uncultured bacterium
Lineage: Bacteria
Description: partial 16S ribosomal RNA
Rfam family: Bacterial small subunit ribosomal RNA
Source: RNAcentral